This 492-nucleotide ribosomal RNA is filed under the name uncultured bacterium. RNAcentral's name for it is "partial 16S ribosomal RNA". It matches the Rfam family "Bacterial small subunit ribosomal RNA", at positions 29 to 507 of the family's 1533-position model. The record is from RNAcentral.
AGUGAACGCUGGCGGCAGGCCUAACACAUGCAAGUCGAACGGCAGCACAGUAAGAGCUUGCUCUUACGGGUGGCGAGUGGCGGACGGGUGAGGAAUACAUCGGAAUCUACUUUUUCGUGGGGGAUAACGUAGGGAAACUUACGCUAAUACCGCAUACGACCUACGGGUGAAAGCAGGGGAUCUUCGGACCUUGCGCGAUUGAAUGAGCCGAUGUCGGAUUAGCUAGUUGGCGGGGUAAAGGCCCACCAAGGCGACGCUCCGUAGCUGGUCUGAGAGGAUGAUCAGCCACACUGGAACUGAGACACGGUCCAGACUCCUACGGGAGGCAGCAGUGGGGAAUAUUGGACAAUGGGCGCAAGCCUGAUCCAGCCAUACCGCGUGGGUGAAGAAGGCCUUCGGGUUGUAAAGCCCUUUUGUUGGGAAAGAAAAGCAGCAGGUUAAUACCCCGCUGUUCUGACGGUACCCAAAGAAUAAGCACCGGCUAACUUCGUG